Molecule: ribosomal RNA, 813 nt
Filed under: Microbacterium sp. S7-08
Lineage: Bacteria; Bacillati; Actinomycetota; Actinomycetes; Micrococcales; Microbacteriaceae
Description: partial 16S ribosomal RNA
Rfam family: Bacterial small subunit ribosomal RNA
Source: RNAcentral
ACGUCGACGGUGACGCAGAGCUUGCUCUGUGGAUCAGUGGCGAACGGGUGAGUAACACGUGAGCAAUCUGCCCCUGACUCUGGGAUAAGCGCUGGAAACGGCGUCUAAUACCGGAUACGAGCUGCGAAGGCAUCUUCAGCAGCUGGAAAGAMUUUCGGUCAGGGAUGAGCUCGCGGCCUAUCAGCUUGUUGGUGAGGUAACGGCUCACCAAGGCGUCGACGGGUAGCCGGCCUGAGAGGGUGACCGGSCACACUGGGACUGAGACACGGCCCAGACUCCUACGGGAGGCAGCAGUBGGGAAUAUUGCACAAUGGGCGAAAGCCURAUGCAGCAACGCCGCGUGAGGGACGACGSCUUCGGGUUGUAAACCUCUUUUAGCAGGAAAGAVGCGAAAGUSACGGUACCUGCAGAAAAAGCGCCGGCUAACUACGUGCCAACAGCCGCGGUAAUACGURGGGCGCAAGCSUUAUCCGGMAUUAUUGGGCGUAAAGAGCUCGUAGGCGGUCUGUCGCGUCUGCUGUVAAAACCCGAGGCUCAACCUCGGGCCUCCAGUGGGUACGGGCAGACUAGAGUCCGGUAGGGGAGAUUGGMAUUCCUGGUGUAGCGGUGGAAUGCGCAGAUAUCAGGGGGGACACCGWUGGCGAGGGCAGAUCUCUGGGCCGUAACUSACGGUGAGGGGSCAAAGGGUGGGGGGGCAAACAGGBUUKGGAUACCCUGGUGGUCCACCCGUAAACGUUGGGGACUGDUUKUGGGGWCYUACMAAGDDUUCCSUAAGGRCUUAGMWWWAGRUUCCCCCCWDAGKGGAUMAACMSW